This 1336-nucleotide ribosomal RNA is filed under the name uncultured Pelagibacterales bacterium. RNAcentral describes it as "bacterial SSU rRNA". It matches the Rfam family "Bacterial small subunit ribosomal RNA". The record is from RNAcentral. Lineage: Bacteria; Pseudomonadati; Pseudomonadota; Alphaproteobacteria; Candidatus Pelagibacterales.
AGUCGAACGAAGUAGCAAUACUUAGUGGCAGACGGGUGAGUAACAUGUAGGUAUCUGCCCUUUGGCCUGGAAUAACACGAGGAAACUUGUGCUAAUACCGGAUAAGUCUUUACGGAGAAAGCUUUAUGCACCAUUGGAUGAGCCUGCACUUGAUUAGUUUGUUGGUGGGGUAAUGGCCUACCAAGACUGUGAUCAAUAGCUGAUUUGAGAGGAUGAUCAGCCACAUUGGGACUGAGACACGGCCCAAACUCCUACGGGAGGCAGCAGUGGGGAAUCUUGCACAAUGGAGGAAACUCUGAUGCAGCGAUGCCGCGUGAGUGAAGAAGGCCUUUGGGUUGUAAAGCUCUUUCGUCGGGGAAGAAAAUGACUGUACCCGAAUAAGAAGGUCCGGCUAACUUCGUGCCAGCAGCCGCGGUAAUACGAAGGGACCUAGCGUAGUUCGGAAUUACUGGGCUUAAAGAGUUCGUAGGUGGUUGAAAAAGUUGGUGGUGAAAUCCCAGAGCUUAACUCUGGAACUGCCAUCAAAACUUUUCAGCUAGAGUAUGAUAGAGGAAAGCAGAAUUUCUAGUGUAGAGGUGAAAUUCGUAGAUAUUAGAAAGAAUACCAAUUGCGAAGGCAGCUUUCUGGAUCAUUACUGACACUGAGGAACGAAAGCAUGGGUAGCGAAGAGGAUUAGAUACCCUCGUAGUCCAUGCCGUAAACGAUGUGUGUUAGACGUUGGAAAUUUAUUUUCAGUGUCGCAGCGAAAGCGAUAAACACACCGCCUGGGGAGUACGACCGCAAGGUUAAAACUCAAAUGAAUUGACGGGGACCCGCACAAGUAGUGGAGCAUGUGGUUUAAUUCGAAGAUACGCGCAGAACCUUACCAACACUUGACAUGUUCGUCGCGACUCUAAGAGAUUAGAGUUUUCGGUUCGGCCGGACGAAACACAGGUGCUGCAUGGCUGUCGUCAGCUCGUGUCGUGAGAUGUUGGGUUAAGUCCCGCAACGAGCGCAACCCUCACUUUUAGUUGCCAUCAUUAAGUUGGGCACUCUGAAAGAACUGCCAGUGAUAAGCUGGAGGAAGGUGGGGAUGACGUCAAGUCCUCAUGGCCCUUACGUGUUGGGCUACACACGUGCUACAAUGGUAUCUACAACAGGAAGCAAAACUGCGAAGUUAAGCAAAUCCCGAAAAGAUACCUCAGUUCGGAUUGCACUCUGCAACUCGAGUGCAUGAAGCUGGAAUUACUAGUAAUCGUGGAUCAGCGUGCCACGGUGAAUGCGUUCCCGGGUCUUGUACACACCGCCCGUCACACCAUGGGAGUUGGUUCUACCUUAAGGCAAGGUUUUAAACCCU